AUAGUGCACCGUUAAGGAAGAUAAUAGUGCAAUAGUGCAACGUUAAGCGCGAAUAAUAGUGCAACGCGGGGUAAAAGAGUGUAAGAAAGCUUAUAAGAGUGCAAUACCGUCAUAAUAAUAGAGUAACAUUUCUCGUAACAAUGCAUUACAUAAGAAGAAGAAUUGAAAUAGAAAAUGCAAUCUCCAUUAAUCUGGCAUCAAAUUACAUACAAGAUAUAGUGUUCUCCAAACAAUUAACGAAACAAUAUAGAUCUACUCAAUCUCCAUUUAGCUGGCAUCAAAUUACACGAUUUUAUAGUUCUUUACAACAUAUAAGACAGAAUUUGCAUACAAGAUACAGUUUUAUCCAAACAAUUAACGAAACAAUAUAGAUUUUCUCAAUCUCCAUUAAUCUGGCAUCAAAUUACACGAUUUUAUAGUUAUUUACAAUAUACAAUAUAGAAUUUGCAUACAAGAUACAAUUUCUCUAAACAAUUAACGAAACAAUAUAGAUCUUCUAGAUCUUCUGACA
Molecule: long non-coding RNA, 511 nt
Filed under: Ananas comosus (pineapple)
Lineage: Eukaryota; Viridiplantae; Streptophyta; Magnoliopsida; Poales; Bromeliaceae
Description: long non-coding RNA (ACOM_LNC003185)
Source: RNAcentral